UACGUAGGGUGCAAGCGUUAAUCGGAAUUACUGGGCGUAAAGCGUGCGCAGGCGGUUGUGCAAGACAGAUGUGAAAUCCCCGGGCUUAACCUGGGAACUGCAUUUGUGACUGUACGGCUGGAGUGCGGCAGAGGGGGAUGGAAUUCCGCGUGUAGCAGUGAAAUGCGCAGAUAUGCGGAGGAACACCGAUGGCGAAGGCAAUCCCCUGGGCCUGCACUGACGCUCAUGCACGAAAGCGUGGGGAGCAAACAGG
Molecule: ribosomal RNA, 253 nt
Filed under: uncultured bacterium
Lineage: Bacteria
Description: partial 16S ribosomal RNA
Rfam family: Bacterial small subunit ribosomal RNA
Source: RNAcentral